RNAcentral lists this ribosomal RNA (550 nucleotides) under Candidatus Daviesbacteria bacterium. RNAcentral's name for it is "partial 23S ribosomal RNA". It matches the Rfam family "Bacterial large subunit ribosomal RNA", at positions 1 to 559 of the family's 2925-position model. The record is from RNAcentral. Lineage: Bacteria; Candidatus Daviesiibacteriota.
AAUACUCAACAAAAAAGCAUACGGUGGAUGCCUUGGUCAAAAGUACCGAUGAAGGACGUAUUAAGCAACGAUAUUCUUUGGGGAGCUGCUAAAAAGCUUUGAUCCAGAGGUUUCCGAAUGGGACAACCCAAUCUUUAAGAUUACUUCAACGCCAAUACAUAACGUUAAGGAGGGUACGCGCUGAACUGAAACAUCUAAUUAAGCGCAGGAAAAUAAAUCAAUCGAGAUUUCCCCAGUAGCGGCGAGCGAAAAGGAAACAGCCUAAACUCAAGGAGCAAUCCUUGGGGGUAGUGGGGUCUACGAUAUAGCAUCAGUUUUAGAUAGUCAAAAUACCUGGAAAGGUGUGUCAAAGAAGGUGAUAACCCUGUAGACGAAAUUUGAAACUGGCUUAGUAGAUACCCGAGUAACUCAGGACACGUGAAAUCCUGGGCGAAUCUGGGGCGACCGCGCUCUAAGGCUAAAUAUACUUUUGGACCGAUAGUGAACUAGUACCGUGAGGGAAAGGUGAAAAGAAGAGCGAAACGCUCAGUGAAAUAGUACCUGAAACCGU